GUCUCUUUGAUUUAAUUUUAUAAGGAGUCUGACCUGCCCAGUGAUAAUUAAUAAUUUAACGGCCGCAGUACUUUGACUGUGCGAAGGUAGCAUAAUUAUUUGCCUUAUAAUUGAAGGCUUGUAUGAAUGGUUUGACGAGAAUAGAUCUGUCUUAAUUAAAUUUUUUAGAAUUUAACUUUAAAGUGAAGAGGCUUUUAUUUUCUUGAUAGACAAGAAGACCCUGUCGAGCUUUAUUUGUUAUUUGUAGGUUAAUAUUUUUAUAUUACUUUUAGAUUUUAGUUGGGGUGACUGAGGAACUGUAUAAGUUUCCUUAAUGAUUUAUAAAUUUACUAAUUUUGAUCCAUAUUUAAUGAUUAUUGGAAUUAGCUACCGCAGGGAUAACAGCAUAAUCUUUUUUGAGAGUUCGUAUUGAAAAAUGGGUUUGUGACCUCGAUGUUGGAUUAAAGUGUCCUAAGGGUGCAGAAGCUUUUAAGGGUUAGUCUGUUCGACUAUUAAAACUUU
Molecule: ribosomal RNA, 501 nt
Filed under: Articulipoma woodringi
Lineage: Eukaryota; Metazoa; Mollusca; Gastropoda; Littorinimorpha; Pomatiidae
Also listed under: 1 other name
Description: partial 16S ribosomal RNA
Rfam family: Bacterial large subunit ribosomal RNA
Source: RNAcentral